UUUUUAAUGUGUUACUUAGGUGGAGAGUUGUCUCGUUGGCACUCAUAUUACAUCUUCUGCCUGUAUCUAUAUGCAACAAGUCACAAGCAGGCUAUUCCACCAUUACACGUUUUGCAAUUUUCUGUAAUUACCUAGUUUAUUUCUGAUUUUCUGACCAAAGUAAAUAGUUAUCAAAGGUACCAGGAUUAUAAUUUAGUACGCCAGACGCGCGUUUCGUCUACAUAAGACUCAUCAGUGACGCUCAAAUCAAAAUAGGUAUAAAGCCAAACAAGUGCAAAGUUGAAGAGCAUUGAUGAUUCAAAAUUCCAAAAAGUUGUGCCAAAUACGGCUAAGGUAAUCUACGCCUGUGAUAAGAAAAUCCUUAGUUUUUUCGAAAAAUUCAAAGUUUUGUAAACAGGAAAUUUAUAAAAAUGAC
RNAcentral lists this long non-coding RNA (415 nucleotides) under Mytilus galloprovincialis (Mediterranean mussel). The record is from RNAcentral. Lineage: Eukaryota; Metazoa; Mollusca; Bivalvia; Mytilida; Mytilidae.